This 784-nucleotide long non-coding RNA is filed under the name Equus caballus (horse). Its description in RNAcentral is "lncRNA (ENSECAG00000054196.1)". The record is from RNAcentral. Lineage: Eukaryota; Metazoa; Chordata; Mammalia; Perissodactyla; Equidae.
GCUGGUCAGGGGGACCUGGCUCCCAUGGGAACCGAGUCCACAGGCCUCGCUGAUAGAGAAGUGGGGGCUCUGCCGAGAUUUGGGGCUAAGCCCUCCAGCCUGCUUAUGGGGAAAAAAACCUCUCAACCCAGACUGGGAGAGGAGGGUUUACUUGCUUGCCCGACUUGUGUUUUUUUGCUGGUAAUAGUUUUCAUUGACUGGGGAGUAAAACUGCUCUCCUCUCCUGAACUGACAGAGCAGGACUGGUAAGGGUCAGCUUUGAUUCUGGUCUUCCCUUUGCUCAUCAUUUUAUUUGAGUGCCGUGAGGACAUUCCCCUAUCAGGUUCUUAGAUUGCCCUGAGGGAAGCCAGAUGCCAUGCCGUGAGCUGCCCUAUGGAAAGGCCAAUAUGGAAAAGGACUGAGGAAGGCCUCCAGCCAAGUUAGUGAAGAACUGAGGUCCUGGGUUCAACAGCCCAUGAGGAACUGAAUCCUGUCAAUAGCCAUGAGUCCCACUGAGCUGGGCUGUUUCCACCAUGGGCCUCCCUCCUUCACACCUUGCCAUCCUCUAGAAUGCCUGAGCCCAGGCCUCCUGCCCAUCUCUCGAAGCAGCUCUCCGAGGCCCCUCCUGUAGGGAGGCACCCCUUCACCCCAAGUCACAGCUCAUCUGCCAGCUCCUUCUGGCCCCCCGACAUGCUGGCCUUGGUCAGAUGGGGCUCCAGAGGUUCUGUUUAUGCCACCAGUGCCAGCCACACAGGACCUGUCAGUGAAUAGGCAAGAAGCCCUGCCUAACUGGAGCAGAGUUUGG